Rhinopithecus roxellana (golden snub-nosed monkey) is the source of this 1341-nucleotide long non-coding RNA. RefSeq lists it as uncharacterized. The transcript has 3 exons. Lineage: Eukaryota; Metazoa; Chordata; Mammalia; Primates; Cercopithecidae. The record is from RefSeq and is a predicted model, not a curated record.
AGCAAACCGACGCUUCACCUCCUUACCUGGUCCCCUUGUCAGCUAGCUGCCUUCUGACCCUGGAGGGAGGAAUUCUGGCUCCUAUUCCAUAGAUGAGGAAAUUGAGGCUCAGAGAAGAUUCACAGCUCCUGUCCUCCAAGGGAUGGCAGCAGGGAUCAUGGUGAUGUUCUGGGAGUGGGUGUGGCUGUUCCCAGGGAAUGGGGAUCCUCCCAUCCCAGCAAAGGGGAGAUACCAGCAAAGGACUAUCUAGCUGCACUCAGACCUCCUGGAUUCAAAUCCUAGACUUAGGCCCUCUGUGCCUCAGUUUCCCCAACUGUCAACUGGAGAUAAUAGCAAGGCCAACCUCAUCUGGUUAUUGUGAGGAUUAAAUCCGUCACCUAAUGAGAAGCUUCCUGAAGUAUUUUCACAGAUGCUUGCAAAGCUCCUAUGGCCAGGUGGAAAUGAGGACAAGGACACUGAGAGACAGGAAGAAGGAGACCAAGACAGAGGAAGCAUGCGGUGGCAGAACAGAGAGAAAUAAGCGGAUAUGAAGAGACACAGGGAGAGUGACAGAGACAGAGACAGCAGAAACCAAAACUCAGAUAGGCCUGACUCCCACAUCGCCUUCCACAACUACAGACGGGGUUUCACUGUGUUAGCCAGAGUGGUCUCCAUCUCCUGACCUUGUGAUCCCCAUUGAUGCAGCAAUUCCACUUCUAGGAUGUACUCUAUGGAUAUACUUGCACAAGGACACAGAAAGCUUUCCACCAAACUCUCUGUGGCAAUUUGUCAUGGCAAAAGCCUGCAAGCCACCAUCACUAAGGAAAUGGCUCUUUAAAUCCUGCUCCGUGUCCACCAUGGAAUGCCACACAGCCUUGAAAAAGGAGGGUGCUCUCUAUGCACUGAUAUCAAGAUUUACUGUUGCUGAAAAUCACAAGGCACACAACUAGUGUGUAGAGUCCUCUGAUAUCUGUAAGAAAACAAAGAAAAUACAUGUUUUUGCCCACAUGUUCACAGAACCCUUCUGAAAAGCAACACAAAAGACUGUCACAGUGAGGGGUUGAGAGGGUGAGGACAAACACAGGAGGGAGACUGACUUUUCACUGCAAGCUUGUUGUACCUUGGGUAUUUGGUGCCACAUGGUAUUACCUAUGGACAAAAUGAGUUAAAGUUAAAGUUUAUACAUGAUGCACAAGUGUUCCAUUUGUGGAUAUAGGAAAAUGCUUGUGAUAAAUUAGUGAGAGAAAAGAAGAUGGCCUAAUUUAUAUAAUGCAUGAUUCACAUAUAUCUUUGAGCUAUCUCUAUAAGUAUAUCCCACAUAUAUCUGUAAGUAUAGAGAGAAACGUUUAAAAAUACUAUCAG